GAAGCCCCGGCUAACUACGUGCCAGCAGCCGCGGUAAUACGUAGGGGGCAAGCGUUAUCGGAUUUACUGGGUGUAAAGGGAGUGUAGGUGGUCUGGCAAGUCAGAUGUGAAAGCCCGGGCUCAACUCCGGGACUGCAUUUGAAACUGUCAGACUAGAGUGCAGGAGAGGAAAGUGGAAUCCUAGUGUAGCGGUGAAAUGCGUAGAUAUUAGGAAGAACACCAGUGGCGAAGGCGGCUUCUGGACUGUAACUGACACUGAGGCUCGAAAGCGUGGGGAGCAAACAGGAUUAGAUACCCUGUAGUCCACGCCGUAAACGAUGAAUACUAGGUGUCGGGGAGCAAAGCUCCUCGGUGCCGCGCUAACGCAUUAAGUAUUCCACCUGGGGAGUACGUUCGCAAGAAUGAAACUCAAAGGAAUGAUGGAGACCCGCACAAGCGGUGGAGCAUGUGGUUUAAUUCGAAGCAACGCGAAGAACCUACCUGAUCUUGACAUCCCCCUGACAGAGGACUGUAAUGGACCUUUUCCUUCGGGACAGGGAGACAGGUGGUGCAUGGUUGUCGUCAGCUCGUGUCGUGAGAUGUUGGGUUAAGUCCCGCACGAGCGCAACCCUUGUCCUUAGUUGCCAGCGGUCCGGCCGGACACUCUAGGGAGACUGCCGGGACAACCUGGAGGAAGGUGGGGAUGACGUCAAAUCAUCAUGCCCCUUAUGACCAGGGCACACACGUGCUACAAUGGCGUAAACAAAGAGAAGCAAACCUGUGAGGGGGAGCAAACCUCAAAAUAACGUCUCAGUUCGGACUGCAGUCUGCAACUCGACUGCACGAAGCUGGAAUCGCUGUAAUCGCAAAUCAGAAUGUUGCGGUGAAUACGUUCCCGGGUCUUGCACACACCGCCCGU
RNAcentral lists this ribosomal RNA (898 nucleotides) under uncultured bacterium. Its description in RNAcentral is "bacterial SSU rRNA". It matches the Rfam family "Bacterial small subunit ribosomal RNA", at positions 487 to 1397 of the family's 1533-position model. The record is from RNAcentral.